AGAGCAAUCUUAACAAGAGAGCUUCAAAAUCCAUGAAGCAAGAGUUACAGAAGAGAGAAACAAACAUAAGUAUAAUUAUAUUGCACAACCUCAGCAUCUCCAGGAUUAUAGAACAACAUUCAGAAGAAUAUAGAAGAACUGAAUGGUACUUUCAACAAGCACAAGGGAAGGAUGUGUUCCAGUUCUCUCGCCUAACUGUUGCUGGUGGGCAGUCUGCACAUGGUAUUCUCCCUGUGUAAAGUCUGUGUCCAAAUUCGUACCAGUCACAUGAGGACACCAGUCACAUCAUAGCAGGAACUCAGAUCAAAGCUGUAAAAGUCUAUGCAGAGAAGAAAAAGAAAUAUAUAUUAAAGAAGGAGUCUUCUGAGUUGGCACCAUGG
Long non-coding RNA from Ochotona curzoniae (black-lipped pika), 380 nucleotides. RefSeq lists it as uncharacterized. Lineage: Eukaryota; Metazoa; Chordata; Mammalia; Lagomorpha; Ochotonidae. The record is from RefSeq and is a predicted model, not a curated record. The transcript is spliced from 3 exons.